ACACAAGACAACAAAGUAAGAAAAUCACCUGAGCAUAGUAAUACUCAGACGUUAGAGACAUCCACACUGAGACAAGAGUAAAAAUAAGGCAUACACAAAUACAAUAAAAGAAUAUCACAAUCAUGCUUGUUUGCACUAUGGCUUUAUUACAGGAUUCAGUGUCCUUGUGCUUCGAGCUGUCAAUUAAUUCGCCCUGGCGCUGCAAUCUACUAGCCUCCUGAUUAGCUCAGAUGGUAGAGCGACCACCCCGGCAAGGCGUUGGUCACAGGUUUGAAUCCCGAACAAGGAAAACUUUUUCUUUAACUACGAAGCUUUGUUGCUGAGAAACCCGUGGGGGUUUCCUUCGUAGCUUCGUGCUACAUACGGGUGGAUGUCAAUUUUUCCUUUAAUGAACCUUCCUCCACCUUGCGGAAUUCCACAGAACCGAUUUGCCAGGAUGAAAAUUCUUUGUGAAAACUGGAAAAGCACCAGCACUUUGCAGCAAACUGACUGCUGUACAGGACUGUUACAUAAAAAUACUAGGCCUGCGUACUUAAAGGGUUCCUGAAACGAUUCGGACAAAUUUUGUAGACGCAUAGGGUACAGCUACAGUAAAACAUUCGCGUAACAAUUUAAGUGAAGCAUCUCAUAUUAAAAGAACUAAGGACGAUUACAAGUUACCCUACUUCCUAGCCAUGCUUUUUCUCCUCAACUCGUUCGCCAAGUGAUCGGGGCUAAGCUCUGCCUUAUUGCUGCAUGUCAGAAAAAUUUUGCUCUUCGUUAUGACGUCAUGAUAAUGGAGACGCCAUGUCCGGCAUUUCAAAAACAAUGUUAGUAUCAAAUUAAAAUAUCCUAUUAAGCAUUUCCCAACCUUCAUACUUGCUAAGUGUCGUACAUUUAUGUGCAAGAAGCAUGUGGAAGAGUUUCAGCAGCUCCAAAAAUAUGUGUCAGUACUAUUUAAUUCCCUUUGAAAGUACCCUCACUUUAUUAAGCUUUAUUUAAGCUCUUGUGUAGCACACUCUGUAUAGGCCUUGGCACUGGUAGGAGUAAGAUUUAAAUGUAGACCACCUCUAUAUAUUAUUCAUGGUACUGCAGAAAAAACAAGAUAGUAAAUGGGAUUGAUGCCUGAAAAGAUUGUGAUAAAUUAAGAUAUGUGGAUUGGGACAAAGCCUUUAGAGACAUUUUUUGGCCAGCUAAAUGCAUGACUGAAAAAUGUAUAGUUGAGAUUCUACUGUAUGUUUUGCCGUAAUUAACAAUAACAGCGACACACUUCAGCUCAAUAUUCUUAGAACGUUGAAGUUGAGAACAAUGAAGGCUACUAAUUCAUAGCCAUUCCAAAGUUCCUGUGACUUUAGUGUAACAGCUAAAGACCAAUGCUUGUAUCGUUUGCUGUGUCACACCUCAUGACCUGCCAUAGAAAAGGUAGCAAAGUUAACAGCUUGUAACGCAAUAUGCAGGUUAGUGUAUGACAUUCUAAAAUAGAAAUUCCGGCUAGUUGGUCUUGCAUGACAGAUGUUUCCCCUACAUUAGACAAGGGAUGACCGCAGAAACAAGACUAACAAAGUUAUUUCUACAGUUGUCCUUUGUCUAAUGCCUUAUGAUUUACCUGUAUUAAACUCAUUACAAUUCUAAUGUUAUAAUGCACUUCAUUAUUUUUUAAUGUGUGGUUGGAAGAGCUUCCUUAGCCAUAUUCAACCAAUAAAGGAUCUCCACUUGGGUGUUCACCAUGCAUAGCAGUGAGUAGGCUGCUAAUUAUCUUGUAUGGUGUACCAAGCUCCUUUAGGCCAGGGCCAGACCAGCUCCUAGACAUAAACUUUUUAUUUGGUAUUAAAUGCACUUAUUUAGAGAACAUUCCAUGCUUCCAACAAAUCUGAUGUACACAAUUCCAAAAUAGAAUGGAGAGCCAUGUUGAUUUCAGACACUAUCAGCAUUCUUGUUGGCCUGCUGUUGCCUUUUACAUGCUUUCAGAACUUGGGGCUAUUGUUUCUGCAUUAUCUAUUGGUAGGCUUGUGCAAUGAGUUUUUAAUAUUGGUUUCGCACCUCAUGGCCAAGCACAGGUUCAUUAUUUUGUGGAAAUGAUGGCUUUUGUAUGACCAUGUAUCAUCGACUAUUGUGAAUUCAACCCUGACGAAGUGGUACAAAUUGGUAAAGAAAGGCAACAUUUUGCCCAAAUAUUGUCAUUUUACUUGCCUUUUAUCACUGCUGCUAUUCGUGCUUAAAUAAAGAUGCUUGAAAUAGCGUCACAUAAAGCAGGUCAUUGCCUUGGAACAUCUUUUCAGCCUUUGCCACGAACUGUAACGCCACAUCUGAGGCAGAAUACGGCCCCAGGUUACCCUAUGCUCAGAUACACCCGCAUGCCAGAAUGCUUGCGGCUGCUGCUGUUUUUGCCACUGACUGCUGUGGGGAUCGAGGUGCCUUCCCGCGCCUCGUCCCCCAGCUCGCGCGUGGCGCUUAGCUUAAUCUCCGGGAACCGCCGCCAUAACGGCAACAUGGCGGACAUGGCGAGCGCGCCGGACUUACUUUCCCGCGCAAACCGUGCUUCUCCCCCCCCCCCCCCCCGGGAUUGGACUUGCCCCGCGAGAACACGUCACCGGGACGCGCCCUGAUUGGCCUCCCGCGCGGCGGCCCCCGGGCACCCUCUCCCCCCGAGCUCUCGUACGCUGAGCGCUUCCUCGCCGCGGCAGAGAGAGAGGCUCACAGGCUCGCAACGAGGUGGUUACAUGAGACCUUUGUUCUCGCGACUCCUCGUUAUCGCGCUUGGCGGACCGCUACCCGGUUAGCCCUAGCGCAGCGGGCGCGCGUACUCGAUCGGUCUUGCGGCGAGCCUUCGCCCGUAAGCGCCGUGACUGUAGCACUGAGCUGUACCUUGGGUGAAUAAACCCGUGUUUGUUGGCGAUCUGACUCCGGAGCCUUCUCUGCGCCGUGUCGGAGA
Long non-coding RNA from Dermacentor silvarum, 2911 nucleotides. RefSeq lists it as uncharacterized. The transcript is spliced from 3 exons. Lineage: Eukaryota; Metazoa; Arthropoda; Arachnida; Ixodida; Ixodidae. The record is from RefSeq and is a predicted model, not a curated record.